GAUGAAGAACGUAGCGAAAUGCGAUAAGUAAUGCGAAUUGCAGAAUUCCGUGAGUCAUCGAAUCUUUGAACGCACAUUGCGCCCGCUAGUAUUCUGGCGGGCAUGUCUGUUCGAGCGUCAUUUCAACCAUCAAGCCCUGUUUAGGCUUGUGUUGGGGCCCUGCGGUUGCCGCAGCCCCCUAAAUGCAGUGGCGGGCUCGUUGUCACUCCGAGCGCAGUAGCGUAUCUCGCUCUGGGCGUGGCGGCGGGUGCUAGCCGUGAAACACCCACUAAGGUUGACCUCGGAUCAGGUAGGAAUACCCGCUGAACUUAAGCAUAUCAAUAAGCGGAGGA
Molecule: unclassified non-coding RNA, 332 nt
Filed under: soil metagenome
Description: partial contains 5.8S ribosomal RNA, internal transcribed spacer 2, and large subunit ribosomal RNA
Rfam family: 5.8S ribosomal RNA (bases 1-120)
Source: RNAcentral